AGAGGUUUCGAUUACUGGCUCAGGAUGAACGCUGGCGGCGUGCCUAACACAUUCAAGCCGAACGAACUGUAGAAAUACAGUGAGUGGCGGACGGGUGAGUAACGCGUAAGCAAUCUGCCUUUGUGUGUGGAAUAACAACCGGAAACAGUUGCUAAUACCGCAUAACGCAGAGAGAUCGCAUGGUCUUUCUGCCAAAGAUUUAUCGCACAAAGAUGGGCUUGCGUCCGAUUAGAUAGUUGGCGGGGUAACGGCCCACCAAGUCAACGAUCGGUAGCCGGACUGAGAGGUUGAACGGCCACAUUGGAACUGAGAUACGGUCCAGACUCCUACGGGAGGCAGCAGUGGGGAAUAUUGGGCAAUGGACGAAAGUCUGAACCCCAGCGACGCCGCGUGAGGGAAGAAGGUCUUCGGAUUGUAAACCUUAGUCAACAGGGACGAAGCAAGUGACGGUACCUGUGGAGGAAGCCACGGCUAACUACGUGCCAGCAGCCGC
RNAcentral lists this ribosomal RNA (493 nucleotides) under uncultured bacterium. Its description in RNAcentral is "bacterial SSU rRNA". It matches the Rfam family "Bacterial small subunit ribosomal RNA", at positions 1 to 518 of the family's 1533-position model. The record is from RNAcentral.